CAUUGUAAAGCUAAUGCAGCGUUAACCUUUUAAGUUAAAAAUAGAGAAACCUUUUCUCUACAAUGAAAU
This 69-nucleotide transfer RNA is filed under the name Fukomys damarensis (Damara mole-rat). Its description in RNAcentral is "tRNA-Lys". The record is from RNAcentral. Lineage: Eukaryota; Metazoa; Chordata; Mammalia; Rodentia; Bathyergidae.